This 459-nucleotide ribosomal RNA is filed under the name uncultured bacterium. Its description in RNAcentral is "partial 16S ribosomal RNA". It matches the Rfam family "Bacterial small subunit ribosomal RNA", at positions 338 to 795 of the family's 1533-position model. The record is from RNAcentral.
CCUACGGGGGGCAGCAGUGAGGAAUAUUGGUCAAUGGCCGGAAGGCUGAACCAGCCAAGCCGCGUGAAGGACGAAGGUGCCAAGCAUUGUAAACUUCUUUUGUCAAGGGACAAAAUCAGGCUCGAGAGCCUGACCGAGGGUACUUGAAGAAAAAGCAUCGGCUAACUCCGUGCCAGCAGCCGCGGUAAUACGGAGGAUGCGAGCGUUAUCCGGAUUUAUUGGGUUUAAAGGGUGCGCAGGCGGAAGAUCAAGUCAGCGGUAAUAUUGAGAGGCUCAACCUCUUCGAGCCGUUGAAACUGGUUUUCUUGAGUGAGUGAGAAGUAUGCGGAAUGCGUGGUGUAGCGGUGAAAUGCAUAGAUAUCACGCAGAACUCCGAUUGCGAAGGCAGCUUACUAAGCCAUAACUGACACUGAAGCACGAAAGCGUGGGGAUCAAACAGGAUUAGAUACCCGAGUAGUC